CGGAAUAUAGCGCAGCUUGGUAGCGUGCCAUCUUGGGGUGAUGGAGGUCGCAGGUUCAAAUCCUGCUAUUCCGA
This 74-nucleotide transfer RNA is filed under the name Osmundastrum cinnamomeum (cinnamon fern). RNAcentral's name for it is "tRNA-Pro". It matches the Rfam family "tRNA". Rfam says of the family: Transfer RNA (tRNA) molecules are approximately 80 nucleotides in length. Their secondary structure includes four short double-helical elements and three loops (D, anti-codon, and T loops). Further hydrogen bonds mediate the characteristic L-shaped molecular structure. tRNAs have two regions of fundamental functional importance: the anti-codon, which is responsible for specific mRNA codon recognition, and the 3' end, to which the tRNAs corresponding amino acid is attached (by aminoacyl-tRNA synthetases). tRNAs cope with the degeneracy of the genetic code in two manners: having more than one tRNA (with a specific anti-codon) for a particular amino acid; and 'wobble' base-pairing, i.e. permitting non-standard base-pairing at the 3rd anti-codon position. RNAcentral also lists the same sequence under 4 other names. The record is from RNAcentral. Lineage: Eukaryota; Viridiplantae; Streptophyta; Polypodiopsida; Osmundales; Osmundaceae.